GUGCCAGCAGCCGCGGUAAUACGGAGGGUGCAAGCGUUAUUCGGAAUUACUGGGCGUAAAGCGCACGUAGGCCGCUUUGUAAGUCAGGGGUGAAAUCCCACGGCUCAACCGUGGAACUGCCCUUGAAACUGCAGAGCUCGAAUCCUGGAGAGGGUGGCGGAAUUCCUGGUGUAGGAGUGAAAUCCGUAGAUAUCAGGAGGAACACCGGUGGCGAAGGCGGCCACCUGGACAGGUAUUGACGCUGAGGUGCGAAAGUGUGGGGAGCAAACAGGAUUAGAUACCCUGGUAGUCCACACCGUAAACGAUGGAUACUAGGUGUCGGGGACUCGAUCCUUCGGUGCCGUACUAACGCGUUAAGUAUCCCGCCUGGGGAGUACCGUCCCAAGCUUGAAACUCAAAGAAAUU
This 405-nucleotide ribosomal RNA is filed under the name uncultured sulfate-reducing bacterium. RNAcentral describes it as "bacterial SSU rRNA". It matches the Rfam family "Bacterial small subunit ribosomal RNA", at positions 505 to 911 of the family's 1533-position model. The record is from RNAcentral.